AAAACAAACAGAAGAAGAAGAGGAAGGCGGCACAGCUGCAACUAAUUAACUUGACAAUGAAACUAGCAUCACUAGUGUGGAUAUUUAUCAUUGUUUGAGAGGAUAACAUGACAGCAGCUUGCAGAAUGUGCCUCAAGUAUUCAGGAAGAAGUCCUCAAGUCACCUGAAAACAAGAAAUACAAAGCAGCAGAAGUCGCAGAUAGCAUUAGCACCGAAAAAAGGUUGCCCAGUGGAAGCUCCUCCCCUUUUACCCACCAUGCCAGACCUCCUUCCUCUGGAUCUGCAGACCGUUUCCCAGACUCUGAUCCAGACUACAGUCCUGAGCAAAGCACUUCAUCGGGUCAGAGG
Long non-coding RNA from Notolabrus celidotus (New Zealand spotty), 348 nucleotides. RefSeq lists it as uncharacterized. NCBI's taxonomy places the organism in Eukaryota, Metazoa, Chordata, Actinopteri, Labriformes, Labridae. The record is from RefSeq and is a predicted model, not a curated record. The transcript has 3 exons.